Molecule: long non-coding RNA, 5277 nt
Filed under: Capsicum annuum
Lineage: Eukaryota; Viridiplantae; Streptophyta; Magnoliopsida; Solanales; Solanaceae
Description: long non-coding RNA (CANN_LNC005579)
Source: RNAcentral
AAAGUUGCCGCAUCUCAAGCAUGUUGCCAGAUUGUUGUUGGUAAAACUCUCAGCUAGUCAAUCUGUUUCUUUGGGUUGUGUUCCUCCUUAUGCCAUGGAUUUGUAGCUUCUUGCUCUAUCUAUCUCUUUCACUCUUGUCACUUGGUAAGUCUUCCUCUGCUUCUUUGCUCUGCCUCUUCGUCUUCUCUUCUUCAUUAAUAAUGAUUUUUCGUUGUUGAUUUUAAGGUGAUCGGGACUUUGCCAAAGGGACCGAUGCAACACUCCAUCUGGAAUGACAUUCUUGAAUCUGGUAAGCCUUACUCCCGCGCUUCAAUUACUGUGUCUGUUCCUCUUCUCAUCUCUCAAUUCUUCUUUCAGCUGAUGUUAGGUCUGCCCCUCUUCAAGCUCGUAGAUCUAUUUGUUGCACCUUUCUUUGACCGCAAGAUCCUCCUACCUUUGUUUUUUGGUGAAAUUUUUUUUAGAGAAAAGACAUAAACAUACCAUUAAAGUUGUCUCAUAUUUUCAAAAAGACAUCUAAGAUUAAAGCGGUUCUUUUAUCCCAUGAAACUAGUCUUAACCAUAAUAUAUGCACACUUUUACACCAGUUAUAUUCUCAUCCUCAGAGAGUGCAUCUCACUCCUUUAUUAAAUAAUAUAAUAUUAUUUUUUCCAUCUUUUUAAUAUAGUACUGGAUAAAACUCUCAUCCAUUAUUAUUUUAAUCCAUUUCACUCUUCUAUCAGUAUUCCUUUUAGACGGCGAAAUCAUCCUGUCCCCUUUUUUCUUUCUCCGUUGAGUUUCACUUCUAGAACUUUUUUCGCGUUGACACUGAGCAAUCACAUACUCUUUCUGAGAUCGUAAGUUGUAUAAGAGUUUGCCCUUUCUCUACUACAAAUAAUUUUUUUACCUCAUGGUCCAUAGCAAAAUUUGAACCUCUGAUUCCUUUGCUGCUUUCCUUGCUCUCCGAUGACGCAUUCUUAAAUCGAACUCACUUCUCCACCUAGAUAGAAAUGCAAAAAUUGAUAUAAUCUCUUUUAAUUGCUACCUCAAUAGGUAAAUUGCUACCUUAUUAAGUCGAGGUGUAUGAUGGGUUUAAUCUUUCAGAUCCAUUAAUGUCCUCCCCGUCGAACAUCAUUACAAAAUCAAAAAAAAGAAAAUUAAUUUUUGAUAUCAGAUGGAAGAUGAAAGACGGAAUUGAAGAGUAAGAAAAUUGCUAUCAUGAAUGGAGUUUUGAUUAAAGUGAAUAGAUGGAGUAGAGACACCAAUUUUUUUCUGCUUUUACAUUGAUGAAAGAGAACUCUGUAAAUUUCUUCUUCUUUUUGUGAGAAGAUGAGUUGCUUGGAGAAGACAAGUUGUUAAUACCACAUGGUAAUUUUUAUAUUGAUUUGGAGGUGAAUUUUAACUCAUUCAUGCACCUCCUCAUUUGUGAUAUUACACUUACUCUGAAAAUAGGUCAAAGUGGUAUAUUUAUUGUGGUUGAAACUCGUUUCAUAGGUAAUAUGACUCUCGCAAAUUUUAGGUGUCUUUUAAGAAAUUUGAGACAACUUUAAUAAUAUCUUUAUAUUUUUUCUUUUUUUUUUUCAUGAAUUUAAAAAAUAAUUCAAGUUAAAGUUACAUCGAUAUUAAGAAAGAAAAAUAAUAAAAGAUUAAAAAUUAUAUUUUAUAAGACUACAAUAAACUCAAACUCUUAAAUUCAUCUCGAGAUUAUCUCUAAUUCUUGACCGAUCUUAUAUUUUCGAUACAUGUUAUAAGGAUCAGAGUCAUUUAUCUUUACAAACUACUUCUUUCGCAUUCUUUUUUUAAUUCUUGAUUAAAUUUAUAUUUUCUGAUGCUAAUUUGAAUGAUAAUUUUCGUGCCGAGAUGAAUGUCAAUGUUCUUCUCCUGUGAUUUCGGUAUCUAUAUAACAUAUCUAUUUUAUUAAUUGAUGACGUGAUGCUUUACAUUUGGCCUUUAUAUAAAAUAAAGCACACAAAUGAUAAAAAUAGGAACAACGAUAACAAAAGAAGAAAAAUUAUUCUGUAUAGACAUUUAAUUUAAUGAAAUCAAUGUUCCCCAUUACUCAUCCAAUUUAAAUAAAAUGAGAAAAUAAUUAGUUGAACACCCUAUUUAUAAAUUUGAUGUCUAUAUAUUUAAUAAAUGAUGGAUUGCAAUUGAUUUGUGAAACUUAAGUUAGAUUAAAUUAUUUUUCUAAAGUGUCAAAUAAGUUAGUUGAGUUAAAUAAAGGCUAAUUAAAAUUGUUCACAUUAAUUAAUAAAUAAUGGUUCAUUAACCCCCGUCUAAUGAUUUUAUAAACCUCAUUCUAUACUGUUAUCCAUUACGUUCGCAUUUCUAGUUGAUUUUAAUUUUUUUCUAACAAAUUUUAAGCUGCAAAAAAUAUUUUAUUAGUUUGUUCUUGCUUGAGUGACUGUGUUUGCUUGAAUAUUCACUUCUAUUUUGUUUGUAAUAUAGCACGUGACAUGACUUGUCUUCUCUUUUUGAUUUGUAAGGGUUGUACUUAAAACGCGACUCUAUAUUUUUUCUUUGCCAUUUUGUGGCUUUUAUUUUUCUUCUUCUACUAAAAUAAUUACAUUUGUCAUUUUAUCUCCCUACUUCAAUAACUGAAAUUGUCAGCAUCUGUUAAAAUUCAUAAUUGCGACAUAGUCAAAAAUUUUAAAUAGUUUUUAUCGCCUUUGUUCUGUACUAACCCUGCUUUCAAAAGGUUGGUACAGAGGAGAAACUGAUGAAGAAAGAGGUGGCGAAGGGAGAGGCCGUCUGGAAGGCGGUGGUGAAGGUGGACGUGGAGGUGGAUACAUAAAAUCCUCGGGGGGUGAGGCGGAGGUGGAGGUGGAUACAAAGAAUUAUCAGGGGCCGGAGAAGGAGGAGGAAUGUUGUACUGUGUAUAUGAGGAUUCAUCAUUCCACCACUAGCAGUGGAUUCCUCUGGACUGAGAUGGUGGUGGUGGAGGAACAAAAGUCGAUCGAGACACUUCCUAGGAUAUUUUUUUAUUGAAGAAGUAGGAAGUCAUGAACACUUUUAGGGACUCAACGAAACAGACAGGAAAAACUCAACUCUCAAGAACCAUACAUUAGCAUUCACACAUCAAGAUUCAACAAAAAAGCAACACAUAGCCUUGAGUUUUCAGGAAAAACAGAGGAUUGAAUUUUAGUCAAGAAAAUGAACAAGAAUUCACAAACAAAGUGAUUUCCACUUUAAAAAAUUGAAUGCAAAAGAAAACUAAAAAAGCAAGUUUAGUAGGAGAAGCACAUGAGAGCAGAGACAAAUGUUAUUACCAGUUCUCCUCUCACUUGCUUCUCCUACUAAAAUUGUUUUUUCAAUUCUUCCCUUUUUCUUUCAAUUUUUUGAAGUGGAAAUUGUUUUGUUUGCGAUUCUUGUUCACUUUCUUUACUGAAAUUCAAUCCUCUGCUUUUUCAUGAAACUCAAUGCUCUAUUUUAUCUUUUUGCUGAAUCUUGGUGUGUAAAUGCCAAUGUACUGUUCUUCAAGUUCAGUUCUCACUGUUUGUUUCAUUGAUUCUCUACAAGUGUUCAUGUCUUCCUACUUCCUCAAAAAAAAGUAUCUAGGGAAGUGUCGCAGUCGAGUUUUGUUCGUCCACCACCACCAUCCCAAUCCAAAGGAAGCUAGUACUCGCGGUGGAAUGACGGAUUGACAUAUACGCAACAGAACAUUCCUCCUCCUUCGUCUCCACCUCCUGAUGACUCUUGGUAUCCACCUCCACCUCCAUCACCACCACCUCCACCUCCUGAGGAUUCUAUGUAUCUACCUCCACUUUCACCACCGCCUUCACGAUGGCCUUCUCUCCCUCUGCCACCUUCUUCAUUAGUUUCUCCUCUGUACCAACGAUAUGAAAAUAAUUGAUGAUGCCACAUCCCAAAAUAAUAUCUCGACGUGACUGGCACCCACUAACACUACUUGUCGAGAGAACCAAUCUUCCUUACACUUUACCAGAUAAUAAAAUCUAAGGUAAGAUAUGUACAACUUCAACGCGUCAAUAAAUAGAGAAUAUUAGUUCAACAAAAUUCCAUAAUUAAACUAUAAAUUCAACAAUCACUCGCAAACUAAUUCUUUGUUCCAAAUCUCACACUAAAACCAUGGAGCAUCUAAAAUAGAGUUACAUGAGUUCAACCUUUGGGCAUGCAAACCCAAUGAAAAGAAACAUACACUAGAUAGAUAAAGUUGAAACGAAAGCCUCCACCAACAAUGCGAAGGUUCACCUGAGAAAUAGAAUCCUUACAAAGGAAUCGUCACCCACUAGUUUCACCUUGCAUGGUAGUAUCUGCAGACAUAUAAGUAAGAAGUGAGCUAUAUAUAAAUAUAACUUAGUAAGAUCAUCGGCUUGCUACUUUAAGGACUCCUGAGAUAAGUAUUAGAAAAUACUACACUACCAAGAACAUAAAGAAAUUACACAGGAAUUAUAUCAUUAUAAGGUGACCAAAGAGGACCAACAAUGCUUCAUGAAGAACAAUAUACCUCAAUAUAAUUCAUACAAAGCACUUAACAUAAUUUAUAAUUAAAGUAAUUAGCCAACAUCAGGAGUUUCGAGAACAAACACAACGUGUAUCAGGAAUAUACACAAUACUCAGGAAACAUACACAAUGUCCCAUAUCAAAUCAACAAGCAUACAUAAUGCUCAAGGAAAGCAUACGCAAUAUCCCAUAUAAAAUCAACAAGCAUACACAAUGCUCAAGGAAAGCAUACACAAUGCCCCAAUGAAAUUAAGAAGUAUACACAAUGCCCCAAUCUCACAGUACACAAUCAUAUCACAACACAAAAUAAUUUAUAACAGGAGAAUUGGUAUUCUAAACUUAAAGUAUAUACAGCUGGCCUUGAAGGCCACCGCCAAGCACAUGCUCGUCCCAACAUAUGGAUCGAGCAGACAAAAAUACACUUUUUAAAAUAAAUUUGAAAAGCAAGCACCCAAAGAUUAAAAUCUCACUUACCUCAGUAACAACAAGUUUUUCAACCUUGUAAUGCUCAGGACACUAAUAAAAAAACCUCCAAUGGCUCCAAUCUGAACACUGAAAUCUUUACUUUAAAGCCUCUGUAACCUCGUUUGAGAGUAUCCCAACUAUUUUCUGCUGUUGUUUCUUUUCUCCAAAAUAAUGGGACCAAUUGCCCUAAUAUUCUACUCCUUCUAUAACUGAAAAUUUUCAAAAUUGAAUAAGGGAAAGGAUAUUAGCUUUUGGUUUGCCCAUUUUAAUUCUAUUAAUUAAUAUUAAUAAUAAUAAUAUAGGCUAAAUUAUCUAUUUACCCCCUCAUUAAAAGUCUGGGUUAUCAUAGAUGAUCUUUCAUUGUGCUUGCGAAUU